This 77-nucleotide transfer RNA is filed under the name bacterium. RNAcentral describes it as "tRNA-Val". It matches the Rfam family "tRNA". Rfam says of the family: Transfer RNA (tRNA) molecules are approximately 80 nucleotides in length. RNAcentral also lists the same sequence under 2 other names. The record is from RNAcentral.
GGUCGGGUAGCUCAGUUGGUUAGAGCACUGCAUUCACAUUGCAGGGGUCACAGGUUCGAGUCCUGUUCCGACCACCA